GACGAACGCUGGCGGCGUGCUUAACACAUGCAAGUCGAACGGAAAGGCCUGCUUUCCCUUGUGGAUUGCGGGUACUCGAGUGGCGAACGGGUGAGUAACACGUGAGUGAUCUGCCCCCAACUUGGGUAUAAGCCUGGGAAACUGGGUCUAAUUCCCGAUAGGACUGCAGGGUGGUGCCUGUGGUGGAAAACGAUUUUCUAGUGGUUGGGGAUGAGCUCGCGGCCUAUCAGCUUGUUGGUGGGGUAAUGGCCUACCAAGGCGGCGACGGGUAGCCGGCCCGGGAGGGUUGAACGGCACAUUGGGACUGAGAUACGGGCCCGACUCCUACGGGAGGCAGGAGUGGGGAAUAUUGCACAAUGGGCGGAAGCCUGAUGCAGCGACGCCGCGUGGGGGAUGACGGGCUUCGGGUUGUAAACUCCUUUCGACCGCGAGGAAGCCACCUGGUUGGAAGGGUGGUGACGGUAGUGGUAGAAGAAGCACCGGCUAACUACGUG
RNAcentral lists this ribosomal RNA (494 nucleotides) under uncultured bacterium. Its description in RNAcentral is "partial 16S ribosomal RNA". It matches the Rfam family "Bacterial small subunit ribosomal RNA", at positions 28 to 507 of the family's 1533-position model. The record is from RNAcentral.